UAGGUAGGGUUUGAUGGUGGAGGAACUGCUUUUUUUUGCCACCUGGGAGGUCAACUUUUGAUUAUGGAAGCAGUAGGUAAAGAAGAACUUAUCGAUAAUAGUGCUAUAAAGAUGGACAUUAAGGAAUCUGAAGAUCAGAGAUAAGAAGAAAACCAUCUUUCCCAGGACUCAUUUGGACAAUAUGGAAUAUCAGAGAUUCGGUGCUCCUUUUCUUGUUUCAUUUUGUUUUGAAUCAUUACUGCUUUUCUGAAGACCUGUUCACUAUGUGAGCAUAGCCUCUGUGUUAUGAUGCUAUAAGGGAUUUCCAAAGAGGUCUGAGUGAUGGUUUCUUAUUUUCCUUCAGAAUCUUCUUCAAGCCACAUUCUGGUGUUGGUGUUGGUGUUGGAUUUGGGUUCCUAGGAGACUUGAAACAUGGAUUACAUCCUGUCACCACAAUAUUUGGCUGGUUACAGUGGCUUUAAGAUUGAUGAACAGAUAUUUCCAGUAUCACGUGGGGUAAAUGUCAAGGAAGCCUCUAGUUGUCAAUACGACAUUUUGCAAAAACAAAACAAAACAAAACACAAUUUAACAACAGGAAAUCUCAAAAUGUGAUGACUCUAUAUUGAUUUCUAGAGAACACACAAUCUGCUCUUAAAUUUACAAGUCAUUUGGGGCAACUUGAUUUAAUUCUGUGGUAAUGUCUAUGACUUUUCUCUCUGCUUACUUACUAACUUAAUUAAUUACUCACACUUGAAUGAGAGUCUCUCCCAGCCUCCAUGAGCUGCCUUUUCAGGAAAAUAGAUAUCACACAAAAGCAUGUUGCCUCAUACUUGUUUUCCAGUAUCUGAGUUCUAAACCUUUUUGGGCCCAAUUUUGAUUGUCUUGGUGCAGGGAUACUUUGAGGGUAACUGGAGGUGAAUAUUUUAUUUUAUUCAUUUAGUUUUAGAUAUUUGAUAUGUACCUCCACAGUGAGCUAAAGGAAAAAGGAUCAAGACUGUGAGUAGUCUAUAAAAGGCAUCCUGGAUAUUGUGAUGUGGCAGUAGCAGUACCCAAACACUACACAUUGGGUACAGCGUACCCUGCUCGGGUGAUGGGUCCACCAAAAUCUCAGAAAUCAUCACUAAAGAACGUAUUCAUGUAACCAAACGUCAUCUGUUCCCCCAAAACCUAUUGAAAUUAAAAAAAUUGCAUGCCCCAAACUGAAAGCAUUGUUCGACGCCACCAUAUUCUCUCUAAAGUCCAUUCGUCAAUUUCUGCACUUCAAAAUAUAGACAAAUAGUCUACUAAUAAAGUGGCAAGCCUCCCACACUAAGGAUAGUACCAGCUAUUUCCUGUAAAAUGGAAUUCUCAUGCUGGACUUCAGGGUAAUAUCUUUGCAGAUUCCUAGCAGGUGACGAGUUGCUCACAAUGGGCUCUGUGCUCAGUGCUUGGCUGAGAGGGAUACUUCAAAUUAAUAAUUGGGCUCCUACGAAAAUCCUCUCCUGAGGUGCAGAAGAUGGAUAUAAAUGAGAUGAAAUGGUUGUGCUGUGGAAAUCUCACUCAAAUGUUGCAUGGCAUUCUUUUGUGUCUCCUGCUCUCUCUUUAGGCUGCUGUUGGCAGAUCAGCUAGUUGGGAUUUCACUGAACCUUAACCCGUGUAUAGGUGGUAGAAUAUCAUGUUCAGUCCAAGAGAAUCCUGACAUUUUCAUUUGGGCCCAGCUAGGAAGAAUUCAAGGGCUUUCACUUAUGAAGAGCUACUUUGUGCUUUCUUCCCUUUUUGGGAGGUUAACUAUAAUGCCUUACCCUUUGGGUUCUGGGGCUCACCCCUUUAUACCUGUGGCCUAUCAGUUUCCCAGUGGUAAAGCAUCAUAUCCUUGUUGUGAAUCUGUGAUUGAUGCCCUUGGCCUAGGGGCUCCCUCUUACCCCUUCAGGAAACAGGAGGGCUAGAGAGAUAGCGCUCAAGUUUUCUUUCACAGUCCCUGUUUCCUAACUCUAAUCACCUCCUGCUGUCACUCAAAACCUAAAUUCAACGCUACUUCAUUUCUAAGAGGCUUAUCUUCCUUGAAUAGACCCUUGCAGCUCAAGUAAGAGGCGAUGUAAUGAAGCGUGUUUUUUUCUUAAGUGAGAAACCUGCUGCAAAGAAGGGGGAAGACUGUGCAGCUGUUCUAAAGGGGCUCUGCAGACUCUCGAAAGACUUGUCAUUUAUCUGGUCUUGCAUGACAUCAAAUGAUAGAAGAUCAAGUUCAAAAUCUGCCAGAGCAGCUCAAAAGGGCUUCUUCAUCUGUUAAUUAAAUAAUGGUUAUUAACAUACAAUGUUGUGCAGCUGGGAUUUGUAUCAAACAUUAUGGGAAAAAUAUUGCCCUAGCUUUCAACACUUCCCCUUCAGUCUGUGUUUAUUAGGAGGCAAAUAGCUUGGGAAAUGGCAAUGGUCUUACCCAAAUCUGAAAGUUAAUAUUGAUGCCAUAAUAUGUGGUUAAAUGAAAGAGCAACUAGACAGGUGGGUAUUAGGCAGAUGGAUAAAUUCAAAGUGACAUGCUGAGAUCAUUGAAGAGUAUACCCUUUUGUGUACGCUUGUAAUUAAUUCAGCGGUCCCCACAAUGUGGGUUCACUGACUUCUUCUGAAAAGUUAAAUACAUGCAACACACACACACACAUGCAAUUACUAUAAAUAAUUGCUUAUUUACUUUGGUUUAACUUAGGCUACUCUAUUACGCUAAAGUUUAAUUUGAACUUUGGAAUAGAUGUCAAGAUUUUCAUCACUGCAAUAAAUUUUACUGGAUAAGGAUAAUUUUAGCAGCAUUUCAUCAUCCACUGGCUUGAGUUUAUGUGUACAAGCUACAAAAUUACAUUUAAAUAUGUCUUGCUUUAUUAGUCUGUAUGUAAUUAAAUGGCACCACAUUUAAGCUUAGAGCUACAGAAAGUAGGCAAUAUCCUUCAGGAAAAAAGUGGUUUGGAAAGGUGUGAAACUCUAAAAAAAAAUUUAUGCUCCAUAGUAAUUUCCCUUAAAAAAGCAUCGUGAGUUGUAUCACUGAAGAAGUCCUGGCAGGUUUUUAAUUCCCACUGAGUAACUGAGCUUAAAGGAAAUAGUGACCACAGAAUAAUUUUAAAAACUUCCAUUUUGUGAUUUCAAGUCCAUAUCACACAUCUUUUAAGUUGUCUAAAGCAAUUAUUUUAUACUUGUUAAUGAACAGGGCUUAUAAUUUAGACUACCCUUAAUUUAUAGCAGUUAGUUAUCUAAUCCCUUGAUAUUUAUGACAAUAAGUACCAUAUUAGAAAACAACGUCUUUUUUUUUUCUUAGUACGAAGCAUCAACUCUGAUUGUUUUCCUACUUUGCUUACUAAUCCUAAUUUGUCUAAGGAAUGCAUGGUCAAUUCAUGUUGACUGAUAAUCCAAAAAUCUGAAUUUAGUGAUUAGCUUUGACUUUUUCUCCAACUAAGGCUAUCACUUGGUUAGAGAACAAUGAGCUCCGUUAACUGACUUGAAGUUUACCUCUCCCAUCUCCUCCAGGUCCUCUGUAGAAAUAACAAGUAGAGAAAUUUCCAGAAGAUGUACAAUGAAAUAGGGAGGAAGUGGAAAAUACAUGGAAAAUAUGCAAAUUAGUCUGGCUGUGGCUGAGAGUUGCCCAAUUUCAAAGAAGAUUCUGAAUCCAAAUUUGAAGCCUUGUUGAAUUAUUUGAGCUUCUAGGCACUGUCGGAUCAUUCAUUCAUUCAUUCAUUUAACACCUCCAUGGGGCCUAACACUAUGAGUCUGGUCUUUUCUUUACCUUCUAACCAUCCAUCUGGUGUUCAGUAAAGGCGACCAUAGAAAAGCCAACUUUUUAGUGUUUACAGCAGUUUUGGAGAAAAAAAAAAAAAGGCAACUUUUCGGGGUUUUAGCCAGCUGUCUUGUAGAUUCACUUAGGUUCAUGAAAGUUUGGAAUGAAGAGAGUUAGAUGGCUAGUGUAAACUCAUUUUUAUUAAUUAUAAAGCAGCUUGCAGCACAGGGUUUACUGAUAAGCAUCAGCAACAAUGUCUUUUACUCAAAACAUAUUAUCUGCUUCUCAAUGCCAGGACUCUGAUGACAUAACAGCUUUUUAAGCACUUACUAUGUGCUGGGCACUGUACUAAGUUUUCUUUAUACGUUAACUCAUUUCAUCCUCACAAUAACUCUGUGAAAUAAGUUACUAUUAUUUUCCUCAUAUCUUUUUAACAUGUGAGGAAACAGAGGUACAGAGAUGUCAAUUCACUUGCUUAUAGUCACUCAGCUUAGAAGUGGCAAAACCAGGAUUCAGACUCAGAAAACUUGGUUCCAUGCUCUUUACCCUACACUAAACCAUGUCUAAAGUAGCGUUAGCAAGUGAAGAAGUUGAGACCCCUAGCAUAUAUCUAUCUUGGCCCGGCCAGUGCUAUGUCUACACAAUGUCUAAAUUGGUUAUUUGAUAUUAUAUUAACUCCAAAUCCCCAAACUUGUGAAUGGCAUUUAUCACUCUUAACUCUCUCUCUCUCUCUCUGUGUGUGUGUGUGUGUGUGUGUGUGUGUGUGUGUGUGUGUGUAAAACAGGAAGUGAAAUCCUGGAAAACAGACAAUAAAAUGAAAUCCUGAUCAUGGACCUUGGAUGCAUCACUGAACCUUUCCAAGUUUCAACCCCACUCUCAUACAGAGAAAUACAUUUUAAAUGACUACCAUAGUGCUUGGUACAGAGUAUAUGCUAUUAUGAUUGAGAAUGAGGUAGAGUGCUGAAGUUUAACUAGAUAAAUUAAGUAAUUAGUGGCUUACCAUUAGAGAAUUCAUUGUUGCAGAAUGUUGGGAAGGUUGAGGAAGGCCAUGUUUAAUUGUAAGGUAUGCAUAACCUUCCUUACGCUGGCUGAAUAAAAAUUCCAAUACCUUUUUUGAUGUGCCACACUGUUCCAAGGCUUCUCUGGGACUUGGGGUGCAUUUCAUCUUGAACUAUGAAUUGCAGAGAUUUUUAUCGUCUUCUGUCACAUACACAGCAUCCUUUUAUUGUGGUUUUUGAUGCGUUAAAUAUGUUUUUAUGGCCCCCUAUGUCUAUUGUGCCUAGCAUACUGUUGGUACUUAAUAAACGUUAAAUAAUAAUAAUAUAUGUGCAUAUGAGAUGUGUGGAAAGGAAUGACAUACUGUUUUAAGGAUCUGAGAUUGUUCUUCUGGUGCCUGGGGAAAACAUACAGAUGAGCAUGUUACUGGGAAUAGAUUAGAAGGAACCAUCAAUAGCAAUGUCAUCUCCCUAAAAUAUGAUGUGGCUCUGUCAGCACAAAUCAUAAACUCCAUCUCCUACCCUGCAUCACUGUAGAAAUCUAAUGUGGAAAGUUGAAUUCCUAGAUUAAUAGAAAUGGGUAUACAGGCACCUUAGAAUUUUGCGAAUUAACAAAUGAUGCUGUCUUUCUUGUGUAUCAGUGAAUUUGUACGGUUUACAGGGAAAUGCUAGGCUGAGCUUUGGGUUUUUUGUUUUGUUUUUUUUUUAACUCUUAAGGGAACCUGUCCAGAGAGGUUUUGAGGGUGUUCUGCUUUAUUUCCUUGGAUGAAGAGGAGGGGCUCCAGAUACUGUCUUUUCAGGGACUGUUUCCCCCCUUAACUGAUAUCUUUGUCAGUAAGGAGACACCUGCAUCCGUGCAGUUCCACCAGUUGAACGACACACCACUUCACUAGUUCUCUUCCUUUCCCAGCUGGAUGCAGCCCAGAAUAUCAGUUCUCUGCCUUGUGCCAAAAGCCUUCUAAGUCCAGUGUGGAGGUGUUUGUGUAAGAUAAAAGCAGGACAAGGCGGCAUCCCCGGACGGCUCAUCUGUUUACAUGUGUCAUUUGGCUCAGCCCUGAUUAGCUCAUUAGCAAAGAAGGCAGGAAAACGAGCAACCCAGAUUUGGUGAUUCAUCAGGUCUGUUCCUCUCUGGGGAGACAGUGCUGGCAUUCUCUGCCAGUCUUCGGAGUGCCUGGUCUUUUUCAGUCCCCCAGGGUAGAGUUUGUUAAAUGUAUUUCUACCCCCGCAGGGCACACCUUCCCCUGCUGGAAAGACAGAUGGCUUAGAUUGAGAAAGGGAGUCACUGCUUUUAGUUGCUCCUUUUAAAAAUCAUUUUCUUUUCUGCAUGCAGAAAACUUAUUUUGAUGGAGCCAAUAUUUAAGGCGAAGCUUUCUUAUGGGCUGUGAAACUGAGGGUCUUUAAUGCUUUUUAUGUUUGAAGGUUCUAUUCGAGAGGUUUUUGUGAGGACAUAAAUUACGGGUAGCAACAGGUAUAUUUUUCCCUUAGUACAAAGGCCAAGUGUAAGUUUUUUACUAGUUAAGAAGGGUCUGUUCUUUUCUUUUUGACCUUGAUUUUUUAGCGAUAUUCUGCUUUGCCCCUGCUUCGGUUGUAUUAUUCCCUGACCCAUCCAAUUACCAUUUCUAUCAGCGCUUCGGAAAGAUUAUGCUUUUUGGGUGUUCUGUAGAUGUCUUUCCAGUGGCUUCACUUGAUGAAUGUGACAAGUUUUGUGUUUUCUCCCUCCCCUCAUUGAAUUGAAAAGUUUUUUUUUUUUUUAUAAAUACAGGCCAAUAAGUGCCCAAAGGCAGUGUUUCAAUGGCUGCUAAGUCUUUCAAGGUUAGGACUUAACCUCCGUUCUCCCUAAUUCAACUCCAACCUUCAGUCUGAAGCCAAUCAAGAAUAUCAGAUGAUACUUAAACAAUGAAGGAUUUCUGAUAUUCAGGUACUGCCUCUGUUCAAUAGGAUUGCAAAUUCUUUGUGUGAAGAAAGUCGGUUUUGCUCUAAAGUACCGUCACAAAAAGUGAAAUUACCAUUUGCUUGGAAUGAUGCCAUUCAUCAUUGUCAGAAUACUAAGCAUUGUAAGUAGCUAGGCCUCUCCAAAUUAAUGCCUUGUUUUGCAUCGGCUAAAUUUCCCAAAUCCUUGAGGAUGGGUCAUACAAAACUCAUCUCACCAUUUUAAUUUAUCAAUCCAAUAUGAGUUCUGUGAAAGGGAGCUUCCUUCACUCUUAGCUCUUUUAUUUACAGUCUAAUUCUAAAAGAAAAGGAAAUAAGAUAUGAAAAUAAGUUGGAAAAUAAGAUAAAUCUCUCGGUGAAAUCACCAGAUCUCAGUCCUGUAGCAAAACCUCCAUAAUUCAUCUGUAGGUCAGCUCAAGGGAUUAGCCAUGACGUAUUUGGAAAUUCAUUUAUUUUUAUUUUAUUUUGCUGUUUCUUAUGCAUAAGGGUAAUGCUGUCCCCAAGGCUUUUCAGGUAGCCCUCAAAUCUUGACAACAUUUGCUGUCUCUGAGGCCUAAGCCAAAAUUAAUUUUCAAAUAAACAGCAUAAAAAUGUAUGGAGUUGUAUAAAUUUGAAUACAAAAUGCAUUUGUUUUGUUUGCUUACAUACAUACAUACAUACUGUCUGUUCAGCCAAAAACCAUAAUAUCACAUUGAAAUUAAUGGCCAUAUGCACAUCAUGAAAGUCAAAAAAGUUUUUCUUGAGUUAAAAAAAUGCAGAACAUGCAGCAUUUUAUUUCAUUUCCAACUCAACGUGGUCUUUAACAUAUCUUCAUAGGAUGUGUUUUAAUUGUUUAUUUUUCCUAGAAGGAAAUUUAAAAAUCUUCCAUAGGAAAAACUGGUACCUAGGAAAUUGUAUGGUUUUUAUUAGUUCAAAAGAUUCUGUUGCCUUGGGAGAUAUGAAGAUAUUUU
Molecule: long non-coding RNA, 7586 nt
Filed under: Homo sapiens (human)
Lineage: Eukaryota; Metazoa; Chordata; Mammalia; Primates; Hominidae
Description: HSALNT0316076
Source: RNAcentral